RNAcentral lists this ribosomal RNA (468 nucleotides) under uncultured bacterium. RNAcentral's name for it is "partial 16S ribosomal RNA". It matches the Rfam family "Bacterial small subunit ribosomal RNA", at positions 28 to 507 of the family's 1533-position model. The record is from RNAcentral.
GACGAACGCUGGCGGCGUGCUUAACACAUGCAAGUCGAACGGAAAGGCCCUGCUUUUGUGGGGUGCUCGAGUGGCGAACGGGUGAGUAACACGUGAGUAACCUGCCCUUGACUUUGGGAUAACUUCAGGAAACUGGGGCUAAUACCGGAUAGGAGCUCCUGCUGCAUGGUGGGGGUUGGAAAGUUUCGGCGGUUGGGGAUGGACUCGCGGCUUAUCAGCUUGUUGGUGGGGUAGUGGCUUACCAAGGCUUUGACGGGUAGCCGGCCUGAGAGGGUGACCGGCCACAUUGGGACUGAGAGACGGCCCAGACGCCUACGGGAGGCAGCAGUGGGGAAUAUUGCACAAUGGGCGGAAGCCGGAUGCAGCAACGCCGCGUGCGGGAUGACGGCCUUCGGGUUGUAAACCGCUUUCGCCUGUGACGAAGCGUGAGUGACGGUAAUGAGUAAAGAAGCACCGGCUAACUACGUG